AAUGAACGCUGGCGGCGCGCCUAAUACAUGCAAGUCGAGCGAGAAGACGUAGCAAUACGUUUGUAAAGCGGCGAACGGGUGAGGAAUACAUGGGUAACCUACCCUAGAGUGGGGAAUAACUAGCCGAAAGGUUAGCUAAUACCGCGUACGCUCCUUGGACUUCGGUUCAGGGAGGAAAGCGAUACCGUGGGGUAUCGCGCUCUUGGAUGGGCUCAUGUCCUAUCAGCUUGUUGGUGAGGUAACGGCUCACCAAGGCUUCGACGGGUAGCUGGUCUGAGAGGACGAUCAGCCACACUGGCACUGCGACACGGGCCAGACUCCUACGGAGGCAGCAGUAAGGAAUAUUGCGCAAUGGGCGAAAG
RNAcentral lists this ribosomal RNA (362 nucleotides) under uncultured bacterium. RNAcentral's name for it is "bacterial SSU rRNA". It matches the Rfam family "Bacterial small subunit ribosomal RNA", at positions 29 to 381 of the family's 1533-position model. The record is from RNAcentral.